This 540-nucleotide long non-coding RNA is filed under the name Homo sapiens (human). Its description in RNAcentral is "HSALNT0351061". Lineage: Eukaryota; Metazoa; Chordata; Mammalia; Primates; Hominidae. The record is from RNAcentral.
AUUUUAUAAGUCCAAAGGUACACCAGGCAAACAUCUAGCCACAUAUUUUGCAUCUAUGUGACAAGAGUUAUAAACUAACCCUCUGGAGAGACAGGGAUCCUCAGAUCCUUCCAUCCUCCUCCUCCAUCCUCCAUCCUUCAAUCAGCUGAUUCUACAUUUAAGAGCAGACUGAUGUCAGCUUCCAAGUUCCAGAAGUGAAUAAGAUAGGGUUCUAAAGUGGAAGUGAUGAAAAUCAAUUCUGGCUUAUUUACACAGAAAAGAGUUGCAUUCAAGAGGUAUUGGGGAGCUCAAACAAUUGUUUCGAGGAUUAGAGAGCUGCGCAAGGGAGCCUGGGAAGGUGAGUACAGUUGACCCUUGAACGACAUGUUUUGAACAACGUGAGUGUGAACUCCAUGGGUCCACUUACACAAGGGUUUCGUCAGCCUCUGCCACCCCCGAGACAGCAAGACCAACCUUUCCUCCUCCUCUUCCUUAGCCAUCUCAAUGUGAAGAUGAUGAGGAUGAAGACCUUUAUGUUGAUCCACUUCCACCUAAUGAACA